GACGGAGGGUGCAAGCGUUGUUCGGAAUUACUGGGCGUAAAGCGUAUGUAGGCGGUUAGUUAAGUCGGAUGUAAAAGCCUGAGGCUCAACCUCAGAACUGCAUUCGAUACUGGCUGACUAGAGGACGAUAGAGGAGAGCGGAAUUCCCAGUGUAGCGGUGAAAUGCGUAGAUAUUGGGAGGAACAUCGGUGGCGAAGGCGGCUCUCUGGGUCGUUCCUGACGCUGAGGUACGAAAGCGUGGGGAGCAAACGGG
This 253-nucleotide ribosomal RNA is filed under the name uncultured bacterium. RNAcentral's name for it is "partial 16S ribosomal RNA". It matches the Rfam family "Bacterial small subunit ribosomal RNA", at positions 524 to 776 of the family's 1533-position model. The record is from RNAcentral.